Oncorhynchus nerka (sockeye salmon) is the source of this 959-nucleotide long non-coding RNA. RefSeq lists it as uncharacterized. The record is from RefSeq and is a predicted model, not a curated record. The transcript is spliced from 4 exons. Lineage: Eukaryota; Metazoa; Chordata; Actinopteri; Salmoniformes; Salmonidae.
AUAGACCACAAGACCAUGGUCGUCUGAAUGAGAAGUCGACAAAGAAGAUUGGGUCCAGUUCAACCAAUCACCGACUAGCCCUUUGUUCACUCAAUAUUUUAUAUUCGAAGAUGGUGUCACUGUUUACAAUAUUUCUAAUUCUCAAACAAAUCGGUAAGUUAUCUAACUUUACCAAGGACUUCACUGGGACUAAAUGUCUGAGUGUGAAGAGAGGAGUUGACAGCUUUAACCUGACCAUCUCUAAGGCACAGUUAGGGGACAGAGCUACAUACUAAUGUGUUGCUAUUGAAGUGGGCAAAGUCACAUUUGGAGGAGCUGUUUCGAUUGUCAAAGAUUCCAACAGCAUGUCUUGUUGUACAGCAGCCUUUGUCUGAGUCAGUCCAGCCAGGAAACUCUGUGACUUUGAACUGUACAAUACACACUGAGACCUGUGCAGGAGAACACAGUGUCUAUUGGUUCAGACAUGGAUCAGGAGAAUCCCGUCCAGGAGUCAUUUACAGAAUAUCCCCACUAGGAACCUUCGCCUCUCUGAUGCUUGGAUUUGCUGUGCCCUCUUGGGGAGAUACUGUUUAGGAAUGGGACCAAGUGGGGCAUUGAAGGAUCCGUCUCUCUGACACCAUGUCCAGCAGUCUCUUCUAGAGAUGCAGAGGACCCAGAUGGAGGGUCUCCAUUACGUAGCUCUGAAUCUGAGCAACAAGAAGAACAGGUCUAGAAGAUAGAGAGGUCACAUGGAGACAGUGGUGUAUGCUGGGAUCAGACAGUAGAACUGGAUGAAUGAAACAGUCCAAUGAAUUAUCUUUUUUAUCAACUCCCACUUUAUUAACAUUAUUAUCUGUAUUACUGUGACAUAUAAUUACUGUAGCUACUUGAAUUAAGUGCAUUGCUUCUCUGCCAAACUCAUUUUAAAUGGACUUGCUUGUGAUAAGAUGAAUAAAGCAUUUUACAACAGUAAAGACAAA